GAUGAACGCUGGCGGCGUGCCUAAUACAUGCAAGUCGAGCGAACAGACGAGGAGCUUGCUCCUCUGACGUUAGCGGCGGACGGGUGAGUAACACGUGGAUAACCUACCUAUAAGACUGGGAUAACUUCGGGAAACCGGAGCUAAUACCGGAUAAUAUAUUGAACCGCAUGGUUCAAUAGUGAAAGACGGUUUUGCUGUCACUUAUAGAUGGAUCCGCGCCGCAUUAGCUAGUUGGUAAGGUAACGGCUUACCAAGGCAACGAUGCGUAGCCGACCUGAGAGGGUGAGCGGCCACACGGGAACUGAGCCACGGUCCAGACUACUACGGGAGGAAGCAGUAGGGAAUUUUCCGCAAUGGGCGAAAGCCUGACGGAGCAACGCCGCGUGAGUGAUGAAGGUCUUCGGAUCGUAAAACUCUGUUAGUAGGGAAGAACAAAGGUGUAAGUAACUAUGCACGUCUUGACGGUACCUAAUCAGAAAGCCACGGCUAACUACGUG
This 497-nucleotide ribosomal RNA is filed under the name uncultured bacterium. Its description in RNAcentral is "partial 16S ribosomal RNA". It matches the Rfam family "Bacterial small subunit ribosomal RNA", at positions 28 to 507 of the family's 1533-position model. The record is from RNAcentral.